This 395-nucleotide ribosomal RNA is filed under the name uncultured bacterium. Its description in RNAcentral is "partial 16S ribosomal RNA". It matches the Rfam family "Bacterial small subunit ribosomal RNA", at positions 523 to 918 of the family's 1533-position model. The record is from RNAcentral.
GUACGUAGGGUGCAAGCGUUAAUCGGAAUUACUGGGCGUAAAGCGUGCGCAGGCGGUUUUGUAAGACAGAGGUGAAAUCCCCGGGCUCAACCUGGGAACUGCCUUUGUGACUGCAAAGCUAGAGUACGGCAGAGGGGGGUGGAAUUCCGCGUGUAGCAGGGAAAUGCGUAGAUAUGCGGAGGAACACCGAUGGCGAAGGCAAUCCCCUGGGCCUGUACUGACGCUCAUGCACGAAAGCGUGGGGAGCAAACAGGAUUAGAUACCCUGGUAGUCCACGCCCUAAACGAUGUCAACUGGUUGUUGGGUCUUCAUUGACUCAGUAACGAAGCUAACGCGUGAAGUUGACCGCCUGGGGAGUACGGCCGCAAGGUUGAAACUCAAAUGAAUUGACGGGG